This 244-nucleotide unclassified non-coding RNA is filed under the name fungal sp. RNAcentral describes it as "partial internal transcribed spacer region". The stretch from base 1 to 46 matches the Rfam family "Eukaryotic small subunit ribosomal RNA", at positions 1786 to 1831 of the family's 1831-position model. Lineage: Eukaryota; Fungi. RNAcentral also lists the same sequence under 1 other name. The record is from RNAcentral.
AAGUCGUAACAAGGUUUCCGUAGGUGAACCUGCGGAAGGAUCAUUAACAAAUUCCAAAACUCGUGUUUGACUAUGGUCAUGUCAGCGCUGCAGAGUGUCCCCACGUGGGCCAUUCGGGUACUGACGACAAGUGACUUAGUCUAUCCUAACACAAAAACAAUCACAUUCAAAUUGACAACCAAGAGUAACCAAUACUUAAAAUGUUUAAUCGAAACAACUUUUAACAAUGGAUCUCUCGGCUCUU